CCUACGGGUGACAGCAGUGGGGAAUAUUGCACAAUGGGGGAAACCCUGAUGCAGCGACGCCGCGUGUGUGAAGAAGUAUUUCGGUAUGUAAAGCUCUGUCAGCAGGGAAGAAAAUGAUGGUACCUGACCAAGAAGCCCCGGCUAACUACGUGCCAGCAGCCGCGGUAAUACGGAGGGGGCAAGCGUUAUCCGGAUUUACUGGGGGUAACGGGAGCGUAGACGGCAGGGCAAGUCUGGAGUGAAAGGCGGGGGCUCAACCCCCGGACUGCUCUGGAAACUGCCAGGCUGGAGUGCAGGAGAGGUGAGUGGAAUUCCAAGUGUAGCGGUGAAAGGCGUAGAUAUUAGGAGGAACACCAGUGGCGAAGGCGGCUUACUGGACUGUAACUGACGUUGAGGCUCGAAAGCGUGGGGAGCAAACAGGAUUAGAUACCCUAGUAGUC
This 440-nucleotide ribosomal RNA is filed under the name uncultured bacterium. RNAcentral's name for it is "partial 16S ribosomal RNA". It matches the Rfam family "Bacterial small subunit ribosomal RNA", at positions 338 to 795 of the family's 1533-position model. The record is from RNAcentral.